AAAACGCAUGCGCAUAGCUCAAAGUCAAACCGAAAGUGCAACAAAUUAAGAGCAGGAAUGGGGGCGUCUAGAAGCACACCGGUUUGGGCUAGUCGGGUCUCAUAUUACCCGGAAGUUGACAAAAAUUCAAAUGGUAUGAUUGCCACGAGUCGCACUAUACUGAACGAAAAGGAAAUGAUGGAAGACUCAAGGGAGAGUAUAUUAGACGUCUAUUCCUACAAAGUUCCACUCAUCAAUAUCACAGGAACAUGUCGGUGGUUUUAUCACAGAUUUGUCGUAUUUAAAACGAAUAGUUGGUGGUGGUCCAUAGAGAAGAAUGCUAAAGAAAUAAUAAUACAAAGAAGCGAGAAUGAAACAGCAGUUAGAGACAGAAUUCUAGGCGAAAAAAGAAGCAAUGGGGCAAAAAUAACACUAGAAAAAAAGGAUUCUUCAAAUGUGAAUGUAAAAGCCCUUUUAGAGAUGCUGGAUUAUGAAAACGAGACGUUUAACAAGUACCAUUUGCUUGAAAGCAAUUGUCAAGCGUUUGGAAAGCGCAUUUUUGAGUAUAUCCGGAUAAAAAGCAUGACGGGAAAGAUAGCGUAAAUUGUUUGUAAAAUACACGAAGAAUUCACAUAUAUCAGAUAUAAGGACUGUCUACACCAUAUACUCAGUGGUAUGUUAAUGGUCAAAUUGUUUAUAGAUAAUGAACAAUGAAGAAAACACUAGACAUGUUUUGGGAGUAUUAAAUACUGCCUAUUUACAACCUAAACUUUGCUAAUUUCGAAGUGUCGGAGGUGAGACUGGGUAUAUUUACAUGUGUGUGUAAUUUGUGUACCUAAUAAAAUAUCGCCAAAACAACCGCCAACUAGAAGUAGAUUAAGUAACGCCUCACCAUCAUAAGUGACUGACUAUGCCAUAAAACCUUGAAAACGGAUUUUAUCAAGCUGAAUGCUAGUAUUUCUCAUGCAUUUAGAUUACUGAUACAAUCUAAAUUAAAUUGACACUUUGUUGAAAAGAAGUUUUCUUAUAACCUGAUAAACAUUUACAUUGUUAUACUUCAAGAUCAUAUUACUAGAUUCUACUGGUUGUUGUACGAGUAUUGUUAACUACACUUAUUUUUAUGUGAGGUUUUUCUUUUUGCUACUUAUCUUCAUGACAAGCGCAAAUUUUUAUACGAGACGGGCGCUUCUAAAGCUUUUUGACGGGUAGAUAUAUUUUGUGUUAUAAACCCUUUUCAAAUGCUAAAAGAAAGCAUAUUAGAAUGAAGGACUGAAAUUUGUUUAGGUUUGAAAACAAAGCUGACAUACCUGUUUUAGUACUUAAAUGUGAUAUAUAUAUAUUGUGACCUCUUUGCAUUUAAAAGCCUAUGUAUUGCGCAUUAUGUUAAAAAUCUUUUAUGUUCCUUUAGUGGUACUUUUAACAAUAAUGGAGUUGAUCAGAAUUUCACAUUUAAAUGAGCUCUCAUGUGAUACUUGCUACUUUAUAACCACUAUCUCUUUAUUUGUCUUGUCUUUUAGCAGUUUGUUUGUGCAAUUGGUGUAGAUAAGGAUAUUAUAUAAUUUUAACAUAAUUAUAUUUUAAUUAAUAUGUAAACUCAAAUAAUUUGGUAUUUAUGAAUUAUGCAGACUUCUAAGUCGUAAUUUGUUUUUAAGCUAUGUACUAAUGAAAUUAUUUUACUUACAACACUUGUUUUCAGUACUCUGAUACAAAACUCAGUCAAAGCUUAUGUUGCAUUUUUAUAUGUCUUGCCGACUUAAAAUAAAACUUAUCUUGUGUACAAAGAAAAAAAAAUGGUGUGUAUAUCAGUCGAAAAGAAUGCUAAUUGAUAAAAGUUGUAGGCGUGUUAAAGUGGAAAUAAAAUUUGUAAAACGAUCCUUUGGAAGCAAAAAAUGCAACCAAGAAGCAUAAUAGCAGACUCGGUUUGAUUGAGUCUGUUCAUGAGAGGUAAUGAAAUAUGCAACACCUCUCACGUCCCUAGCAGCGGCUUAAGCGGAACUCUAUUACAAAUAUGUUGAAUGGACUCCAUGAUCCCAAAGAACCAAAAAUAUAACAAGACUGAAUCCAAGUACGGGGAGACAUUUUACAGUCGCCACACGGCACUUAAAGAUUGCUGUUGUGAUAGUUAAUAAAAGCUGUAAAAAGAUCCUUUGGAAGCAAAGAAUGCAACAAAGAAGAAUAAUUGCAGACUCCGUUUGAUUGAGUCUGUUAAUGAGAGGUAAUGAAAUGUGCAACACCUCUCACACCCCCUAGCACCGGCUUAAGCGGAACUCUAUUACAAAUAUGUUGAAUGGACUCCAUGAUCCCAAAGGACCAGAAAAUAUAACAACACUGAAUCCAAGCACUGGGAGACUUUUUACCUUCUCGUCGGAUCUCUCGUUGACAAGGCUUCUGGCAAACUUGACAUAGUCACCGAAUUUUCUUAGAAACUGUUUAAGACGGUACACACGUCAUUGAUACAGACAACAUGUUUCAGACUAUUUUUUUAAAUUAUUAUGUGAAGCAUUGUCUAAAUGAUGAAAUUAUUUUUAUAGUUUUAUAAAGUCAUUGUUCCGCUCUAAAUAGACCAAUUACCAGGGAUGAGGUAAGAAGGCUACGUUUAAUGUAAAGCUUGGCAAAGCUUGUGGACUCGAGGAAACUUUUUUUAUAGAAAUUCUUCGAAAUAAUACUGUACUGAUCAGGUAUGAAAGUGCCCAAUCAGACCCAUUACAGUACAGUGAUAUAACACUUCUUCCUUAUAACUUUUGAAUAAAGAAGAUCAACCCAAAUGUGUACCAUGUCAAACACCGCUAACUAUUAAACACAUUUUAAUCGACUGUGUGGACUUUGCUACACAACGCAGUACAUAUUAUGACGUUCAAUCUUUGAGAGAAUUAUUUGACAAAGUUCAGUUGGAAAUAUUUUAUCUUUUUUAAAGCAGAUAGGAAUAUAUCAAAGGAUCUAACACUUCUUAUAUUUAUUUACAUCUUGCAAUAUUAUUAUGUUUGCAGCUGAUAUUUUAACACACACGUACAUACAUUUUUACAUUACUGUUUUUAGAUAUGCUUUACAUUAUUACAUGGAUGCUUUUAGAUAUGUUUUACAUUAUUCAUAGUGUUCUUUACAUUUUUACAUGGAUGUUUUUAGGUAUGCUUUACAUUUUUACAUCAAUGUUUAGGCUUUACAGUUGGCGUUUGCAAUAUGACUUCUUCUCGGCGGUAUAUGACCAUUUUGUGUCGAUUCGCCGUAAAACCCAACUCACUCACUCACUCACUCUUCCUUGUAAAAUUUGUGCACAUAUUAGAUUGGGAGACUUAAAGCUCAAAAUGUAUUGUGUGGCAAACAAAACGGUUUUACAGGUAAUCGAAGUUGCCUUGAUCAUGUUUAUUCUCUGUAGAACUUGAUGAAUAAUUGUAAACAUGAUACAAAUGUACAUAUGCAUAUUUUGUUGAUGCACGUCAUGUAUAUAAAAUGGCAAGCGAGAUUGUUUGUGGUUUAAAGUUAGGACAAUUAGUAUACAUUGGUAUGCAUAUUUAACAUAUACAUUGAUAAAUUUAGUAAUACAUUGAAGGAAGAAGAAAGUAAAAAUAUUUAUCAACGAAACUAUUUGGGUUGAAUAUUCACUAUGAAAAAGCACCAUUGUUGACCAUAGUUGACAAAGAAUUCAGUAUCACAUCAGUCAAUUAGCCUAAGAUAAGAUAUUUUACAUUAGUCUUUCCUGGUGUACCCUCGAAGAGUUAAAGGAGUUUGCAGUCUUACGCUAAAAAUGUGAUAAUUCUUACAUAAGUGAAAAAGAAUAAAACCCCAUAGAACUGUUAUUGUGUCUGACCUAUUUAUUUCAUCAGAAUAUUUCUUCGACUACAUGUGACACAAUGUAUUGAAGAUAGUCUUGCCAGUGAGUCUUGUGAGUCCCUUCAAUUCAAAGUUGAAGAUGGUUGCAAGCGACACCAUUGGCAGUCAACGAAAUCAUUUUCAUGUUAAUAACAUUUCUGAGUCCGGUCGAUGUUUCCCGGGAAUGAGCUAAACAUAUCGUGUAUAACUGUGAAUUGGCUGGAUAUGUUUUUGCUUAAUAUAUAGGGCUAGCUAUUUGUAGUUUUCGACAGUCCGACACUGAGCCGCGGACAAAUAUUGCCAUACAAUUCAAUAUUGAAUACAUGUGAAUAAACAGUAUAA
Mercenaria mercenaria is the source of this 4128-nucleotide long non-coding RNA. RefSeq lists it as uncharacterized. The record is from RefSeq and is a predicted model, not a curated record. The transcript is spliced from 2 exons. NCBI's taxonomy places the organism in Eukaryota, Metazoa, Mollusca, Bivalvia, Venerida, Veneridae.